This 254-nucleotide ribosomal RNA is filed under the name uncultured bacterium. RNAcentral's name for it is "partial 16S ribosomal RNA". It matches the Rfam family "Bacterial small subunit ribosomal RNA", at positions 524 to 776 of the family's 1533-position model. The record is from RNAcentral.
UACAGAGGGUGCGAGCGUUGUCCGGAAUCACUGGGCGUAAAGGGUGCGUAGGCGGGUCUUUUAAGUCAGGGGUGAAAUCCUGGAGCUCAACUCCAGAACUGCCUUUGAUACUGAGGAUCUUGAGUUCGGGAGAGGUGAGUGGAACUGCGAGUGUAGAGGUGAAAUUCGUAGAUAUUCGCAAGAACACCAGUGGCGAAGGCGGCUCACUGGCCCGAUACUGACGCUGAGGUGCGAAAGCGUGGGGAGCAAACAGG